UGGUUAAACUUCGUGUAAUCCAGGUCCCU
Molecule: non-coding RNA, 29 nt
Filed under: Rattus norvegicus (Norway rat)
Lineage: Eukaryota; Metazoa; Chordata; Mammalia; Rodentia; Muridae
Source: RNAcentral